AUAAUAAUAAGUAAAUCUGCUCAUGAUAAAUUCAAUAGCCGCAUAUGUGCUAAGGUAGCAUAAUCAUUUGUACUUUUAAUUAAAGACUAGAAUAAAAGAUUUAACAUUUAAAUUAAUAUUUUAAAUUUAUAUAAUUUAAAUUACUUUAAAUGUAAAAAUACAUUUAUAUAAAAGAAAGACGAUAAGACCCUAUUAAACUUUACUUUAGAUUAACUGGGGUAGUUAAUUAAUUAUUAUUUUAAUUUUUAUAAAGUAAAAAUUUGAUCUAAUAAAAUUAAUUUCAUAAUCAAGUUACUAUAGGGAUAACAGCGUAAUAAAAUUUUUAAGAUCUUAAUUAAAAUAAAGAUUGCGACCUCGAUGUUGAUUUAAUAUCCUAAUUUACGCAAUAGUAAAUUAAGGAAGUCUGUUCGACUUUUAAAAAAUU
Molecule: ribosomal RNA, 424 nt
Filed under: Pisaura lama
Lineage: Eukaryota; Metazoa; Arthropoda; Arachnida; Araneae; Pisauridae
Description: partial 16S ribosomal RNA
Source: RNAcentral